GCCAGACUCAUGGAGAACUGCUUCCACAAGUUUCUCUUCUCCAACAGCAACAGCUGCUCAUUCCUCCACAACCUGGCCAGACUCAUGGACAACUUCUUCCAAAAUGUCAUCCAUACCUGCCUCUCUUCAAACAACAACAGGUUUCAGGACCGAUUCGGCUCUGGCCCUGAGGCUGGUGAACGGCGGUGACCGGUGUCAGGGCCGCGUGGAGGUCCUCUACCGAGGCUCCUGGGGCACCGUG
Long non-coding RNA from Myotis davidii, 241 nucleotides. RefSeq lists it as uncharacterized. The transcript is spliced from 4 exons. The record is from RefSeq and is a predicted model, not a curated record. NCBI's taxonomy places the organism in Eukaryota, Metazoa, Chordata, Mammalia, Chiroptera, Vespertilionidae.